UUCCGGUUGAUCCCGCCGGACCCGACUGCUAUCAGAGUGGGACUAAGCCAUGCGAGUCAACGUAGCAAUACGUGGCAUACGGCUCAGUAACACGUAGUCAACAUGCCCAGGGGACGAGGAUAACCUCGGGAAACUGAGGGUAAACCUCGAUAGGCCAUGAUUUCUGGAAUGAUUCUUGGCUCAAACCUAUAUGGCCCCUGGAUUGGACUGCGGCCGAUCAGGCUGUUGGUGAGGUAAUGGCCCACCAAACCUAUUACCGGUACGGGCUCUGAGAGGAGGAGCCCGGAGAUGGGCACUGAGACAAGGGCCCAGGCCCUAUGGGGCGCAGCAGGCGCGAAACCUCUGCAAUAGGCGAAAGCUUGACAGGGUUACUCUGAGUGAUUUCCGCUAAGGGAAUCUUUUGGCACCUCUAAAAAUGGUGCAGAAUAAGGGGUGGGCAAGUCUGGUGUCAGCCGCCGCGGUAAUACCAGCACCCCGAGUGGUCGGGACGAUUAUUGGGCCUAAAGCAUCCGUAGCCGGUCCUGCAAGUCUUCCGUUAAAUCCAGCUGCUCAACAGAUGGGCUGCGGGAGAUACUACAGGGCUAGGAGGCGGGAGAGGCAAGCGGUACUUUAUGGGUAGGGGUAAAAUCCGCUGAUCCAUAGAAGACCACCAGUGGCGAAGGCGGCUUGCCAGAACGCGCUCGACGGUGAGGGAUGAAAGCUGGGGGAGCAAACCGGAUUAGAUACCCGGGUAGUCCCAGCUGUAAACGAUGCAGACUCGGUGAUGGGUUGGCCUCGCGCCUGCCCAGUGCCGCAGGGAAGCCGUUAAGUCUGCAGCCUGGGCAGUACGGUCGCAAGACUGAAACUUAAACUUAAAGGGGGGGAGCA
RNAcentral lists this ribosomal RNA (867 nucleotides) under uncultured archaeon. RNAcentral's name for it is "bacterial SSU rRNA". It matches the Rfam family "Archaeal small subunit ribosomal RNA", at positions 1 to 878 of the family's 1478-position model. The record is from RNAcentral.